CCUACGGGGGGCAGCAGUGGGGAAUAUUGGACAAUGGGGGGAACCCUGAUCCAGCCAUGCCGCGUGUGUGAAGAAGGCCCUCGGGUUGUAAAGCACUUUCAGUGAGGAAGAACGCCUGGUGGUUAAUACCCAUCAGGAAAGACAUCACUCACAGAAGAAGCACCGGCUAACUCCGUGCCAGCAGCCGCGGUAAUACGGAGGGUGCGAGCGUUAAUCGGAAUUACUGGGCGUAAAGCGCGCGUAGGUGGCUUGAUAAGCCGGUUGUGAAAGCCCCGGGCUCAACCUGGGAACGGCAUCCGGAACUGUCAAGCUAGAGUGCAUGAGAGGAAGGUAGUAUUCCCGGUGUAGCGGUGAAAUGCGUAGAGAUCGGGAGGAAUACCAGUGGCGAAGGCGGCCUUCUGGACUGACACUGACACUGAGGUGCGAAAGCGUGGGUAGCAAACAGGAUUAGAUACCCCAGUAGUC
This 465-nucleotide ribosomal RNA is filed under the name Vreelandella stevensii. RNAcentral's name for it is "partial 16S ribosomal RNA". It matches the Rfam family "Bacterial small subunit ribosomal RNA", at positions 338 to 795 of the family's 1533-position model. Lineage: Bacteria; Pseudomonadati; Pseudomonadota; Gammaproteobacteria; Oceanospirillales; Halomonadaceae. The record is from RNAcentral.